Molecule: small nucleolar RNA, 133 nt
Filed under: Cephalotus follicularis
Lineage: Eukaryota; Viridiplantae; Streptophyta; Magnoliopsida; Oxalidales; Cephalotaceae
Description: Small nucleolar RNA snoR74
Rfam family: Small nucleolar RNA snoR74
Source: Rfam by way of RNAcentral
AAAAAAGCAGGGAUCUGUUGCCAUAUGUGAGCAGUUCUCUCGCAAACGUCAGGAAUAGCAUUUUCUCAUUGUUAUUGGGUGAACCUCUGUUAAUUGAUUGUGGCUGAAUGGUUCAGUAAAUGAUGGCACAUUU